GUGCUUCAGAGGACACUAUUUAAAAAGUCAAAAGGACUCAGAAUUGGGGAAAAUAUUUGCAAGUCAUAUCUGAUAACGGUCUGGUAUACAAAAUAUAUAAAGAAUUUUUAUAGGCUGGGCAUGAUGGCUCACACCUGUAAUCUCAGCACUUUGGGAGGCCAAGGCAGGAGAAUUGCUUGAGGCCAGAGUUUGAGACUAGCCUAGGCAACAUAGUGAGACCCUGUCUCUACAAAAAAUUUAAAAAAAAAUUAGCUGGGGCAUGGUGGUACACACCUAUAGUCCCAGCUACUUGGGAGGCUGGAGCUGGAGGAUCUCUGGAUUAUAUGAAAUGUCCAGAAUAGACAGAGAGACAGAAAGUUGAUGAGUGGCUUUCAGGGGCUGAAGGGAAGUGGAGUGACUGCUAAUUGAUUCAGGGUUUCCUUCUGGGGUGAUUAAAUAUGUUCUCGAAUUAAAUAGGGGUGAUAUUGCAUAACCUUGUGAAUAUACUGAAAGUCACUAAAUUAUACACUUUAAAGAGGUAAAUUUUACGGUACUUGAAUUAUGUCUUUAAGAAAAAUCUCAAAAGAUUUUUUUCUCUAGAUCCCCUGGCUGGAACAAGUUCCUUAAAUUGUGAUUCAGCUCUUCACCUCGAUGCUGUCCACCGCGUCUGAGACCUCCCUUUGGGGCCAGACUCCUCCUGAGGGGGGUGCUUUACCUCAGGGGCACCAUGAAUCUUUCAAACAGUCUCCUAGGAAAUAGACCGCAUAUUGGCCUUAAGGAGGUAUGUCAACUUGUAAGUCAAAAUAAGUGUCUCAGUCCUGACCACUGCGCUUCCCUGAUAAGCCAGCCCAGGAUGAGAUGCCCCACCCUGGCCACCAGAUUCCUCUCUCCAAGUCACUGCAUGGGGACACAGACAGCCCACACUGGGCUGUCUGCUCCAAAGCUGGAGUGCUUUCAAUAACUCAAUGCAGCGUGUCCAGAAACUGAAGGCUAUUCCUGAAUGCUGACUCUCCAGUGGCUGGGCCCAUUAGCUCUGGGUUCACCUCCUAGGUAGCACUGUCCCUGCUCCUGGAGUUC
RNAcentral lists this long non-coding RNA (1056 nucleotides) under Homo sapiens (human). RNAcentral's name for it is "non-protein coding MTUS2-AS2:1". The record is from RNAcentral. Lineage: Eukaryota; Metazoa; Chordata; Mammalia; Primates; Hominidae.